Molecule: ribosomal RNA, 253 nt
Filed under: uncultured bacterium
Lineage: Bacteria
Description: partial 16S ribosomal RNA
Rfam family: Bacterial small subunit ribosomal RNA
Source: RNAcentral
UACGUAGGGUGCAAGCGUUGUCCGGAAUUAUUGGGCGUAAAGAGCUCGUAGGCGGUUUGUCGCGUCUGCUGUGAAAACUCGGGGCUUAACUCCGGGCCUGCAGUGGGUACGGGCAGACUAGAGUGCGGUAGGGGAGACUGGAAUUCCUGGUGUAGCGGUGAAAUGCGUAGAUAUCGGGAGGAACACCAGUGGCGAAGGCGACUUCCUGGCCUGUUCUUGACGCUGAGGCGCGAAAACUAGGGGAGCAAACGGG